RNAcentral lists this non-coding RNA (192 nucleotides) under Domibacillus antri. The record is from RNAcentral. Lineage: Bacteria; Bacillati; Bacillota; Bacilli; Caryophanales; Bacillaceae.
UGCAUAUCGAACAUUAAGAGUGCCCGGAGUGUUUACGUCCGGGAUAAUAGGGAAAUCGGUGUGAAUCCGAUGCAGCCCCCGCUACUGUAAGCGCGAUGAAAUCAUCCAAUAACCACUGGCCUAAGAACCGGGAAGGGGAUGAAAGUAAAGUGAUACGCAAGCCAGGAGACCUGCUUUUAAUGCCUGAACAUC